This 212-nucleotide unclassified non-coding RNA is filed under the name uncultured Basidiomycota. RNAcentral's name for it is "sequence contains ITS2". The record is from RNAcentral. Lineage: Eukaryota; Fungi; Basidiomycota.
UUUACAUUCUCAGUGUGACUUGGUGUUCAAAACCCAGUCACGUUGGAAGCUGAGGGGUUGCUGGUCAUUUAUCAGCUCCCUUAAAAUGCAUUGGUGGAAUGAGCCAAAUUGGCUUCGGUUUUGAUAUAUUAUCUGUGCCGUUGCUGAGGAGCUCUUCUUCUGUCUAGGUCUCCUGGAGGAGACUGUCUAUAUUGGACAAUAUCUACUUUUGA